Non-coding RNA from Podarcis lilfordi (Lilford's wall lizard), 70 nucleotides. The record is from the annotation of a GenBank genome assembly. Lineage: Eukaryota; Metazoa; Chordata; Lepidosauria; Squamata; Lacertidae.
GGCAUAGCUCAGUGGUAGAGAAUAUACCUUCCACGCAGAAGGUCCUACGGUUCAAUCCCUGGCAUCACCA